UGCACUAAAUGAUAUGCAUGGGGAUA
This 26-nucleotide non-coding RNA is filed under the name Mus musculus (house mouse). Lineage: Eukaryota; Metazoa; Chordata; Mammalia; Rodentia; Muridae. The record is from RNAcentral.